Non-coding RNA from Cinara cedri, 230 nucleotides. NCBI's taxonomy places the organism in Eukaryota, Metazoa, Arthropoda, Insecta, Hemiptera, Aphididae. The record is from the annotation of a GenBank genome assembly.
CUUUAAACUUAGAAUAGUUUUACAAGGAACCUUUAAACACAUCUCCCGUUUGCUUUUCGUUCAACAAAGUCGUGGUAGAUGGCAUAUUAAACGAGUACAAUCAAUACGAUCGAAAUCAAUUGAAAAUGUAACCUUGUAUACUCGACAAGGGGUUCAAUACUUAUUUAAUAUUUCAUAGCCUUAUGAACAAAAGACCAUACUUUAACAAAAGUUUUAACCGCAGAUAUUUU